AUGCUCACUUCAGUAGCACAUAUACUAAAAUUGAAACAAUACAGAGAUUACAUGGUACCUGUGCAAGGAUGACACAAAUUCAUGAAGCAGUCCAUAUAAAACUUUU
This is a small nuclear RNA of Callithrix jacchus (white-tufted-ear marmoset), 106 nucleotides long. NCBI's taxonomy places the organism in Eukaryota, Metazoa, Chordata, Mammalia, Primates, Cebidae. The record is from Ensembl.